CAGCCGUAAACUAUGCUCGCUAGGUGUCAGGGACGGUGCGACCGUUUCUGGUGCCGCAGGGAAGCCGUGAAGCGAGCCACCUGGGAAGUACGGUCGCAAGGCUGAAACUUAAAGGAAUUGGCGGGGGAGCACUACAACGGGUGGAGCCUGCGGUUUAAUUGGACUCAACGCCGGAAAACUCACCGGGGGCGACAGCAAUAUGUAGGCCAGGCUGAAGACUUUGCCGGAUUAGCUGAGAGGAGGUGCAUGGCGUAGUCGUGU
Molecule: ribosomal RNA, 261 nt
Filed under: uncultured archaeon
Lineage: Archaea
Description: partial 16S ribosomal RNA
Rfam family: Archaeal small subunit ribosomal RNA
Source: RNAcentral